This 508-nucleotide ribosomal RNA is filed under the name uncultured bacterium. Its description in RNAcentral is "partial 16S ribosomal RNA". It matches the Rfam family "Bacterial small subunit ribosomal RNA", at positions 28 to 523 of the family's 1533-position model. The record is from RNAcentral.
GAUGAACGCUAGCUACAGGCUUAACACAUGCAAGUCGAGGGGAAACGAUAGGGAAAGCUUGCUUUUUCUAGGCGUCGACCGGCGCACGGGUGAGUAACGCGUAUCCAACCUGCCCAUCACUUGGGGAUAACCUUGCGAAAGUAAGACUAAUACCCAAUGACGUCUCUAGAAGACAUCUGAAGGAGAUUAAAGAUUUAUCGUUGAUGGAUGGGGAUGCGUCUGAUUAGCUUGUUGGCGGGGUAACGGCCCACCAAGGCGACGAUCAGUAGGGGUUCUGAGAGGAAGGUCCCCCACAUUGGAACUGAGACACGGUCCAAACUCCUACGGGAGGCAGCAGUGAGGAAUAUUGGUCAAUGGACGAGAGUCUGAACCAGCCAAGUAGCGUGCAGGAAGACGGCCCUAUGGGUUGUAAACUGCUUUUAUAAGGGAAUAAAGUGAGUCUCGUGAGACUUUUUGCAUGUACCUUAUGAAUAAGGACCGGCUAAUUCCGUGCCAGCAGCCGCCGCAG